UACGAAGGGGGCUAGCGUUGUUCGGAAUUACUGGGCGUAAAGCGCGUGUAGGCGGGGCCUUAAGUCAGGGGUGAAAUGCCAAGGCUCAACCUUGGAACUGCCUUUGAUACUGGGGAUCUUGAGUCCGGGAGAGGUGAGUGGAACUGCGAGUGUAGAGGUGAAAUUCGUAGAUAUUCGCAAGAACACCAGUGGCGAAGGCGGCUCUCUGGGCCUGUACUGACGCUGAGGAGCGAAAGCGUGGGGAGCGAACAGG
RNAcentral lists this ribosomal RNA (253 nucleotides) under uncultured bacterium. RNAcentral describes it as "partial 16S ribosomal RNA". It matches the Rfam family "Bacterial small subunit ribosomal RNA", at positions 524 to 776 of the family's 1533-position model. The record is from RNAcentral.